GCUAGGAAUCUUGCGCAAUGGGCGAAAGCCUGACGCAGCAACGCCGCGUGGGGGAUGAAGGCUCUUGGGUCGUAAACCCCUUUUGCAGGGGAAGCAACUGACGGUACCCUGCGAAUAAGCCACGGCUAACUACGUGCCAGCAGCCGCGGUAAUACGUAGGUGGCAAGCGUUGUCCGGAUUUACUGGGCGUAAAGCGCGCGCAGGUGGCCCGUCAAGUCUGGGGUGAAAGCUCCCGGCUCAACCGGGAGAGGUCUCUGGAAACUGACGGGCUUGAGGAGAGCAGAGGAGAGUGGAAUUUCCGGUGUAGCGGUGAUAUGCGUAGAUAUCGGAAGGAACACCAGUGGCGAAGGCGGCUCUCUGGGCUCUUCCUGACGCUGAGGCGCGAAAGCGUGGGGAGCGAACCGG
Molecule: ribosomal RNA, 405 nt
Filed under: uncultured bacterium
Lineage: Bacteria
Description: bacterial SSU rRNA
Rfam family: Bacterial small subunit ribosomal RNA
Source: RNAcentral